CUCUUUCCUUCCUCGCCGGUGAUCUUUUCAACAGAUCAAGAAGAGAGAGAGCGAACAGCAGAUUCACGAACACGAACAGAUCCUUGAAUUGAAAGGGGAGCAGGCGUGUGCCGACGUGCGAUGUCGCGUGGUCAACGCCCGCUCCUGAUUUUCUUUUUUCCUUUUUCUGUCCGGGUUUUGAAUAUUUCGCAAUUUCUUCGCAUUGACUUAACGGGAUAAUGACAUAAAUGAUCCAUUGACUUUAAUCUAACGUGUAAUGUGAUUCCCGAAUUUUACUUCAA
Long non-coding RNA from Syzygium oleosum, 281 nucleotides. RefSeq lists it as uncharacterized. The record is from RefSeq and is a predicted model, not a curated record. The transcript has 2 exons. NCBI's taxonomy places the organism in Eukaryota, Viridiplantae, Streptophyta, Magnoliopsida, Myrtales, Myrtaceae.